GAAGUCACCACCGGAUUUCUGCUAUUAACUUUCCCGGCGACGAUGCCCGACCAGAACCCAUAAACCCUAAAAUCAAUCUGCCCAAGGAGAUGGGGAGCAUUAAGCGAAUGCCCGAGAAUAUUUGGAGCUCAAUUCGGUCGGGCGUUAUCUUGUAUGAUUUCUCAAGGGUUGUUGAGGAGUUGGUUUUCAACAGCCUCGAUGCUGGUGCCACCAAGGCAUUGGGACCUGCUUCGUUAAGGUGGAUGACAAUAGAUCUGGC
RNAcentral lists this unclassified non-coding RNA (259 nucleotides) under Hevea brasiliensis (rubber tree). The record is from RNAcentral. Lineage: Eukaryota; Viridiplantae; Streptophyta; Magnoliopsida; Malpighiales; Euphorbiaceae.